AAUGGACGCAAGUCUGACCCAGCGACGCCGCGUGGAGGAGAAGGGCUUCGGCUCGUAAACUCCUUUUCCCGAGGACGAGAACAGGACGGUACUCGGGGAAUAAGUCUCGGCUAACUACGUGCCAGCAGCCGCGGUAAUACGUAGGAGGCAAGCGUUAUCCGGAAUUACUGGGCGUAAAGGGCGUCUAGGUGGCAGCCCAAGCGGGGUGUGAAAGCUCCUGGCUUAACUGGGAGAGUGCGCUCCGAACUGGGCAGCUAGAGGGCAGGCGACGGAGGUGGAAUACCCGGUGGAGUGGUGAAAUGCGUAGAGAUCGGGUGGAACACCAGUGGCGAAGGCGGCCUUCGAGCCUGUGCCUGACACUGAAGCGCGAGAGCGUGGGGAGCAAACGGGAUUAGAUACCCCGGUAGUCCACGCCGUAAACGAUGAUGACUAGGUGUAUGGGGUCUUAACAGGCCCUGUGUGCCGCAGCCAACGCGAUAAGUCAUCCGCCUGGGGAGUACGGCCGCAAGGCUA
This 513-nucleotide ribosomal RNA is filed under the name uncultured bacterium. Its description in RNAcentral is "bacterial SSU rRNA". It matches the Rfam family "Bacterial small subunit ribosomal RNA", at positions 370 to 896 of the family's 1533-position model. The record is from RNAcentral.